GCGGGCGUGGCGAAAUGGCAGACGCGCGGGCUUUAGGUGCCCGUGUUCGGAAGAACGUGUGGGUUCGAGUCCCACCGCCCGCAC
This 84-nucleotide transfer RNA is filed under the name Mycolicibacterium aurum. RNAcentral describes it as "tRNA-Leu(tag)". It matches the Rfam family "tRNA". From Rfam's summary of the family: Transfer RNA (tRNA) molecules are approximately 80 nucleotides in length. The record is from RNAcentral. Lineage: Bacteria; Bacillati; Actinomycetota; Actinomycetes; Mycobacteriales; Mycobacteriaceae.